RNAcentral lists this ribosomal RNA (250 nucleotides) under uncultured prokaryote. RNAcentral's name for it is "partial 16S ribosomal RNA". It matches the Rfam family "Bacterial small subunit ribosomal RNA", at positions 524 to 773 of the family's 1533-position model. The record is from RNAcentral.
CACGUAAGGCGCUAGCGUUGUUCGGAAUCAUUGGGCGUAAAGGGCGGGUAGGCGGCCGCGCAAGUCUGGAGUGAAAUCCCCGGGCCCAACCCGGGGGCCGCUCUGGAAACUGCGCGGCUGGAGUCGCCGAGGCGGGGCCGGAAUUCCAGGUGUAGGGGUGAAAUCUGUAGAUAUCUGGAAGAACACCGGUGGCGAAGGCAGGCCCCGAGCGGACGACUGACGCUGAGGCGCGAAGGCGCGGGGAGCGAAC